This 348-nucleotide long non-coding RNA is filed under the name Equus asinus (donkey). Its description in RNAcentral is "lncRNA (ENSEASG00005038587.1)". Lineage: Eukaryota; Metazoa; Chordata; Mammalia; Perissodactyla; Equidae. The record is from RNAcentral.
GUCGGAGUCCCGUCCCUUGGUGUUCUGUCCCCUCUGAGUUCCAUCCCCCUGUGACGCUCUUUUCCUGCUUAUCCUCGUCAGUACUGACGCACUUGUCAGAUGCCGGCACUGAAGUUCCUGUUGCCUGAACAGGAGGAGGAAAGAGGAGGAAGAUGAGAAAGAAGGAGCAGGAGGAGGAAGAGAAGGAGGAAGAGGAGCAGGAGGAGGAAGAAGAAGCAGGAGGAGGAGCGGGAGCACUGGUGGAGGCCCGGAGCUGCAACACGUCCUGUGGCCUGGCGCCCCCAGCAGCUGCCGAGCUCGCCCACCCAUCUGUCCGGCUGCGUGUGUCCACUUACGUAGACACCUGUG